Molecule: long non-coding RNA, 2092 nt
Organism: Aegilops tauschii subsp. strangulata
Lineage: Eukaryota; Viridiplantae; Streptophyta; Magnoliopsida; Poales; Poaceae
Source: RefSeq, a predicted model, not a curated record
AAAGGCAAUAUGACAAAGGAAAGAUCGAUAAUAAUAUUGAAAAAAUACCUUGUGCGAUAACAUUUAAAUUGGCAUCUUUUUUGGUUUGUUAUGAGAUAUCACCGCUUCCACAUUAUUAUUUGUAAAAAACUCGGUGAAUUUUUGGCCCCUUUCGGCGACGUCGCUUCGGAACCCUUGUCGAUGGAUUCUUUUUGUGCAUCUCCAAAAUCCAUAUCUAUGUCUCCUAUAUCCUGAAAAAAUAAUAAUAUAUAAAAAUACACCAUUUGUAUUAUCAUCUAUAACAUACAUACAAAGAAUGGUUAGCUAUAUGCACCUCUUCUCGUGGUGUUUCAGUCCGGUCUGUCAUCGUUAUAUCAGUGCGUAUGUUGGAACCUAUCACUUUCUAUCUUGAAAUAUAAACGAUAUUUUCUACUGCAUCAUAUAAACAUAUAUAAUCUAUACUUCUAUACUACUAUUAAACAAUCAAACAUUUUCUUUUCUACAGUCACCCCAUUAUGUGUAUCUAGACUGAUUUGUGCCGUCAGAUUGUCCCACUUAAUAAGAUCUAACGCCUUAAAUACGUUUGAUCAGAGGCCACGAUUACAUGUACAAUUAGCGUUGACUGACCAUGCUCCACCGAGCGGACAAAAUUUCCCACGCGCGAUCUGGAUCAGGUCCCACACAGUCACCGCUCCGCUAAUCUCGCCCGUAUAUCCGGUAAUCUCUCACAUAUCCGUUCGCCCUCCAAAAACCUUGCCGUCGCUCCCACGCGUAGCACCGGUCCUCCUUCCACCUUCCCCUUCCACCCAUCUGGCCUUCCCGCCCGCCUCUCCCCCGAUCCCCACGCAUCUCCUCCGGUGGCCGCCUUCGGCGAGUGGAAUCUGUUCCUCACUGGCUCGCUGCAUUCUUCCCCUGUGGGGUGUUGGUGUGGGGAUGGGAUCUGACAGGAUCGGGAUGAGGAGGCGGCUGCGAGGUACACGCUCUGGACGCCGCGCGUGUAUGCGCUCAUUGCCGAGGCCGAUGCCGCUCUUUCUGGAGGCUGACGCAGCUCUUACUGGAAGAAAUCCCACGGGGUCAAGCGGGGUGACGAGGGCACCUACAUCCUUUCAUGUUUGGGCGCUGGAGGGCGACGGGAGUCAUCGAUUCGCCGUCUGGCUACUGCACUAGGGGACUGCGGCUGCUACAAAAGAUGCAGCAAUCGAAAGAUGCACAGGUACUUGAUGAGAUGCCACUAAGUCAGUUUGCUAUCUCAGGUUAUAUUGGACGGUAAUUUAUUUUACAAUACAACUACAUCUUUCUUGAAUCAGACUCGGCCUAUUUCUGUGCAAUUUUGUUCUAUAGCUAUUUUUUUUUGGUGGCUUUCUUUGUUUUGCUUUAUGUUGUAUAGUCAGUACAAAACUCAAGCCCCAUCAUCUGACAAUUCUGUAGUAAUGACUGAAACUAUUCGAGGACAAAUCUUCGAUUGUUGUUGUCGUUGGAAAUUAGAGUUGCAUGGUUGGCAUGGUCAACAUGGCAAAGAAAGUAUAGAAGAUUUGCCAAACCAGGUAUGGGCUUGUAGAGUACCUCAGGUAAUCAGAUUCUGCACCCAAAUUUAAUUUUACUUGCUUUUAAAUGAUUCUAGGGCACAUGAUGUUGAUAUGCUAGAUUGUGUUGUAGUUUAUGCUUGUCUGAUUAUGUAUAUUUUCUUACAGAACGUCAUAUUUCUUUUUUGAGAAAUUAUAUAGGUGUAGGCUGAGCAUGGACGUUUGCGCUGUUGUGUGUGUUGAGGUCAAUCUCAGUUUGGUACACAGCAGAGCUAAGGGCGUGCACUUGCCAAAUAUGGUGUAUGUCGGACUUUCCCCAUUUAUUUUUUCUCACACCAUACGAGAAUUAUACAGCUAAAUAUAUCGAGAUUAACAUUAGUUUCCCCUGCUGAAGCUUGUGCAAUUGUAUUUAUGUUGAGCAGAGAAUUGGUCAACAAUAAAGGAGAACAAGAAUUGUAUUUUGUAUUACUAUUUUUAUACAAACUUUCUUCCCACACCAUUAUGUAAUCUUUCCCUUUUUGGGUUGCAGUGUGGUCUCUGCUAACCAGAUUUUAUAUAUGAUCACUGCUAAAUUACAACUUGAUGCCAAA